CCUACGGGAGGCAGCAGUGAGGGAUAUUGCACAAUGGGGGGAACCCUGAUGCAGCGACGCCGCGUGGGUGAAGGAGUGCUUCGGCAUGUAAAGCCCUAUCGGCAGGGAAGAAGCAAGACGGUACCUGACUAAGAAGCCCCGGCUAACUACGUGCCAGCAGCCGCGGUAAUACGUAGGGGGCGAGCGUUAUCCGGAUUCACUGGGUGUAAAGGGAGCGUAGACGGCCAUGCAAGCCAGGGGUGAAAGCCCGGGGCCCAACCCCGGGACUGCCCUUGGAACUGCAUGGCUGGAGUGCGGGAGGGGCAGGCGGAAUUCCUGGUGUAGCGGUGAAAUGCGUAGAUAUAUGGAAGAACACCAGUGGCGAAAGCGGCUCUCUGGUCUGUAACUGACGCUGAGGUUCGAAAGCGUGGGUAGCAAACAGGAUUAGAUACCCCGGUAGUC
This 441-nucleotide ribosomal RNA is filed under the name uncultured bacterium. Its description in RNAcentral is "partial 16S ribosomal RNA". It matches the Rfam family "Bacterial small subunit ribosomal RNA", at positions 338 to 795 of the family's 1533-position model. The record is from RNAcentral.